CAAGCAACAUAUUGAUUCAAGACAUUUAACAAUAAUUUCAUAUUCAUAAACUGCUUCUUGCAACUCUCAAGUGCUAAAAACUACUUAAUUGAUAUUAACAAAACAUGGAAUUCUUACCUAUAAAGAGAUCAAAAAAUUGUGUUUAUUACAUACAAGAGAAAAAAUAUGGCUCAAAUUUUCAUGAUUAUUUAUAUUUUGAUCAUUUUUCUUUCUCUAUUAUUUAUUAUGAAAAUUAGUGGAGAUGAUAUUCCCUGCACUAGUGAUUCGGAAUGUCCAGAGGUGUUAAAUUAUUUCUCUCAGUGUUAUCAAGGAAUUUGUCGGUACUAUUGAGCAUAUUACUUAAGUUUAAAAAUAAGGGUUAAAUAAGUUUUUGGUACCUAUAACUAUUGCAGAGUUUUAAAAAAUGGUCGUCGCGUUGCGAUACUGUAAUUUUUUUGUGAUUUUGGUUGGUAUAGGUGUCGCCAUUGUGGUCGUUAUACUGCGAAUUAAUUACAAUUUAUUCUUUAAUAUAAAAAUGAUGAUAACGGUAUCAAUAAUGACACCUGUCAAAACCGUUUAGUCGCGGUCUAUUUAGCGGUUGCCGAUAUUUUUUAAAACUCAAUGUAUAGUUUCAUUUGUAUGUUAACAAUGUUUGUACAUUUAUAAAUUAGUUUAGAAUUUAAUUUA
Vicia villosa (hairy vetch) is the source of this 666-nucleotide long non-coding RNA. RefSeq lists it as uncharacterized. NCBI's taxonomy places the organism in Eukaryota, Viridiplantae, Streptophyta, Magnoliopsida, Fabales, Fabaceae. The record is from RefSeq and is a predicted model, not a curated record. The transcript has 2 exons.